CAGUCACAUCACAUUGAAACACCAGCUCCCAUAUGAUUAUUGAAGUUAAGCAAUGUUGAGCCUGGUCAGUACCUAGAUGGGUGACCAUUUGGGAAUACUAGGUGCUGUAAG
This is a non-coding RNA of Acanthosepion pharaonis, 111 nucleotides long. The record is from the annotation of a GenBank genome assembly. NCBI's taxonomy places the organism in Eukaryota, Metazoa, Mollusca, Cephalopoda, Sepiida, Sepiidae.